Non-coding RNA from Acanthosepion pharaonis, 109 nucleotides. The record is from the annotation of a GenBank genome assembly. NCBI's taxonomy places the organism in Eukaryota, Metazoa, Mollusca, Cephalopoda, Sepiida, Sepiidae.
UGACCAUGUUACACAGAAACACCAGUUGCCAUAAGAUCACCAAAAUUAAGCAAUGUUGAGCCUGGUCAGUACCUAGAUGGGUGACUGCUUGGGAAUACCAGUUUCUGUA